Lucilia cuprina (Australian sheep blowfly) is the source of this 538-nucleotide long non-coding RNA. RefSeq lists it as uncharacterized. The record is from RefSeq and is a predicted model, not a curated record. NCBI's taxonomy places the organism in Eukaryota, Metazoa, Arthropoda, Insecta, Diptera, Calliphoridae. The transcript has 4 exons.
AAAACAAAACAAUUGCAGUUUAAUUUUAAUUGGUUUUUUGAAAAAUAAAAAUUCAGUAUUACAACAAUUGUUCAAGCGAUACACACGACAAAAGUUUAAAAUUUUUUUUUCCUAUAAAACACAAAAACAAACAAAAUGUUUUUCGAUCUAUUGCAAGGAUUAUUUGAUAUGAUUUGGGGAUUAUUACCAUUUGGUGGUAGUGAUGACGAUGAUGAUGGUUCUGAAGAAUCCUAAUUUAAAUUUAACACCUCAACGAUUUUAGUCAUGCCCGAUUACCACUUAAAAAUAAAAUAACAACAACAUGUUAAAUAUUUUUGAAAUGAUAUUUUUAUUUUUUCGAGGUCUAACGAAAAUUGUCCAAGUCAUUAGGGAACCACCUACCUCCGGCGAUGAACCCGAUUCCGAUGAAGUUGAAAUUAUUUCCACUUAACAUUGUUUGAUUUUAUUGUUAAAUUCAAUAUAUUUUAUUUAAUAUUAUUCAUAAUUUAUUUUUAUAUAGUUUUAUUUAUAUAAAUAUAUUAUAUUUGUUUUAAAUACA